This 354-nucleotide ribosomal RNA is filed under the name Shigella sp. FC1967. Its description in RNAcentral is "bacterial LSU rRNA". It matches the Rfam family "Bacterial large subunit ribosomal RNA", at positions 2025 to 2374 of the family's 2925-position model. The record is from RNAcentral. Lineage: Bacteria; Pseudomonadati; Pseudomonadota; Gammaproteobacteria; Enterobacterales; Enterobacteriaceae.
CCCGAGACUCAGUGAAAUUGAACUCGCUGUGAAGAUGCAGUGUACCCGCGGCAAGACGGAAAGACCCCCGUGAACCUUUACUAUAGCUUGACACUGAACAUUGAGCCUUGAUGUGUAGGAUAGGUGGGAGACUAUGAAGUGUGGACGCCAGUCUGCAUGGAGUCAACCUUGAAAUACCACCCUUUAACGUUUUGAUGUUCUAACCUAGGUCCAUAAUCUGGAUCGGGGGACCGUGUCUGGUGGGUAGUUUUGACUGGGGCGGUCUCCUCCUAAAGAGUAACGGAGGAGCACGAAGGUUGGCUAAGCAUGGUCGGACAUCAUGCGGUUAGUGCAAAGGCAUAAGCCAGCUUGACU